RNAcentral lists this ribosomal RNA (210 nucleotides) under uncultured Veillonellaceae bacterium. RNAcentral's name for it is "partial 16S ribosomal RNA". It matches the Rfam family "Bacterial small subunit ribosomal RNA", at positions 568 to 774 of the family's 1533-position model. The record is from RNAcentral. Lineage: Bacteria; Bacillati; Bacillota; Negativicutes; Veillonellales; Veillonellaceae.
CAUGUAGGCGGUCCUUUUAAGUCUGGAGUGAAAAAUGCGGGGCUCAACCCCCGUAUGGCUUUGGAUACUGGGGGGACUUGAGUGCAGGAGAGGAAAGGGGAAUUCCCAGUGUAGCGGUGAGAUGCGUAGAUAUUGGGAGGAACACCAGUGGCGAAGGCGCCUUUCUGGACUGUGUCUGACGCUGAGAUGCGAAAGCCAGGGUAGCGAACG